AUGACAUCCGAAGGUAUAUAGAAUGGCGUGCGCGGCAGAAGUGAUUACCUUUCCCGGACGGAGUCAGACGUAGUGCCUCCAAGAGAGAACCCUGCAAGAUGCCAGGACACCGAAGAAGAACAAGACAGGAAACUGGUAAUCAGACACCUCAUGUCAUCAUUAAAGCCAAUGAGGGGAGCUCUGUAUCAUUGACAUUCAUUAUGGACAGCAAAAUCAAUGGACAUCUUUCAAGUAGAUCAACUCACAGUGCCACUGUUGAUAGAAGGAGAGCGCACACGUCCAUUCAACAGAGCAACUGCAAUGAUAGAGCCACAGAUUCCAUG
This is a long non-coding RNA of Engraulis encrasicolus (European anchovy), 323 nucleotides long. RefSeq lists it as uncharacterized. The transcript has 3 exons. The record is from RefSeq and is a predicted model, not a curated record. NCBI's taxonomy places the organism in Eukaryota, Metazoa, Chordata, Actinopteri, Clupeiformes, Engraulidae.